This 87-nucleotide transfer RNA is filed under the name Podila verticillata NRRL 6337. Its description in RNAcentral is "tRNA-Glu (CTC) (tRNA-Glu-CTC-3-1)". It matches the Rfam family "tRNA". From Rfam's summary of the family: Transfer RNA (tRNA) molecules are approximately 80 nucleotides in length. Their secondary structure includes four short double-helical elements and three loops (D, anti-codon, and T loops). Lineage: Eukaryota; Fungi; Mortierellomycota; Mortierellomycetes; Mortierellales; Mortierellaceae. The record is from RNAcentral.
GGAGAGGUGGCCGAGUGGUCCAAGGCGCUGCACACUCGGUGCAGUUUGCUCUCUGAGCAUCCGUGGGUUCGAAUCCCUCCCUCUCCC